This 505-nucleotide ribosomal RNA is filed under the name uncultured bacterium. RNAcentral's name for it is "partial 16S ribosomal RNA". It matches the Rfam family "Bacterial small subunit ribosomal RNA", at positions 28 to 507 of the family's 1533-position model. The record is from RNAcentral.
GACGAACGCUGGCGGCGUGCCUAAUACAUGCAAGUAGAACGCACAGUUUAUACCGUAGCUUGCUACACCAUAGACUGUGAGUUGCGAACGGGUGAGUAACGCGUAGGUAACCUGCCUGGUAGCGGGGGAUAACUAUUGGAAACGAUAGCUAAUACCGCAUAAUAUUGAUUAUUGCAUGAUAAUUGAUUGAAAGAUGCUAUUGCAUCACUACCAGCUGGACCUGCGUUGUAUUAGCUAGUAGGUGAGGUAACGGCUCACCUAGGCGACGAUACAUAGCCGACCUGAGAGGGUGAUCGGCCACACUGAGACUGAGACACGGCCCAGACUCCUACGGGAGGCAGCAGUAGGGAAUCUUAGGCAAUGGACGAAAGUCUGACCGAGCAACGCCGCGUGAGUGAAGAAGGUUUUCGGAUCGUAAAGCUCUGUUGUAAGAGAAGAACGGGGGUGAGAGUGGAAAGUUCACACUGUGACGGUAUCUUAACAGAAAGGGACGGCUAACUACGUG